This is a long non-coding RNA of Portunus trituberculatus (swimming crab), 391 nucleotides long. RefSeq lists it as uncharacterized. Lineage: Eukaryota; Metazoa; Arthropoda; Malacostraca; Decapoda; Portunidae. The transcript has 2 exons. The record is from RefSeq and is a predicted model, not a curated record.
CUCUCGGGUAUAUAAUGGAGGCACUGGUCUCUCUCACCAUCACACCUCUUCCUCCACCUCCUUAGUGAACACGCCACGCCACUACCACUCUCAAAAAUGAGAUUCCAGCUGUCCUCCCUGAUCGCCAUCCUGUUUGCCCUUAUUGGGUUAGCAGUGGCAGCCCCUCAGCCCUUCUACCGCCGCCCCAGCCCCGUCCUGCAGCCCCGCCCUCACAUUGGUCACCACGGGGCGUACUAUCCUAUCAGCGUGGAGGUUCUGGGCCCCCAUGGCUUCCCUGUUAGCUAUGAACAGUUUGGUUAUGGUUAUGGAAAGUAAGAGGAACGGGUGAAGGAAGGAGGAAGAAGGAAGAAGGAAGAGGAGGAGGAGAAGGAGGUGGAAUGAUACUAGGCCA